UACGUAGGACACAAGCGUUAUCCGGAGUUACUGGGCGUAAAGGGCGUGUAGGCGGAUCUGUAAGUCUGCUCUGAAAGCUCCUGGCUAAACUGGGAGAGGCGAGCGGAGACUGUCGGUCUAGAGUGAGGAAGAGGAAAGUGGAAUUCCGCGUGUAGUGGUGAAAUGCGUAGAGAUGCGGAGGAACACCAGUGGCGAAAGCGGCUUUCUGGACUGCAACUGACACUGAGGAACGAAAGCCAGGGGAGCAAACGGG
RNAcentral lists this ribosomal RNA (253 nucleotides) under uncultured bacterium. Its description in RNAcentral is "partial 16S ribosomal RNA". It matches the Rfam family "Bacterial small subunit ribosomal RNA", at positions 524 to 776 of the family's 1533-position model. The record is from RNAcentral.